This 641-nucleotide long non-coding RNA is filed under the name Androctonus crassicauda. The record is from RNAcentral. Lineage: Eukaryota; Metazoa; Arthropoda; Arachnida; Scorpiones; Buthidae.
GUUUUAUUAGAAAAUUAUGAUAACUAAAUAUCGAGAUUUAUUUUUUAUUUAUAAUAUUAUACAAUUUAAAAUGUAUCGGUAUUCAGAUGAUUAUCAAUAUAAUUUAAUUAAAAAUAUCAACAUUUUAGAAAAACUUAAUUAUUCAACCCUAAUUCUGUACUUUGUAUACAGUGUGAAGAAAAAACGUAAAGUUUGCGUACUGAUAGGGAGCAUUGAAACAAGUCGAAAAUAUCAAUGAACCUAUAUCCAUGCAAUGAAUAUACGGUCUAAAUGGCACUUUUUUUCGAGGUAGAAAGCUAGCUAAUCACAAAAUCGAGCACGCGAAGCGCCAUUGCCACGCAUUAUUUCACUCUCGAUUAAGAUUGGCUAGCUUUAAAGGGUCCUAAUUCGAAAAUUGCACCAUUUAAACCAUAUGUCCGACUUGUUUCGAUGCACCCUAUCAGUACACAAAACUUUCGGGGAAGGUUUUUCUUUACUCUGUAUAUACGAAUUUUUGAUCGUUUCGAAAUUUGAACAUCGGUUAGAUCUAAUAAAAUACAUUCAACUUAUAUUUUUUUAUUUAGACUAUAGCCUAUAUGAUGUUCUGUGCAUACUCAUGAAUUUCAUCAUGAAUUGUAUCCUGUAUUAUAAUACAAUAUUCC